RNAcentral lists this ribosomal RNA (250 nucleotides) under uncultured prokaryote. RNAcentral's name for it is "partial 16S ribosomal RNA". It matches the Rfam family "Bacterial small subunit ribosomal RNA", at positions 524 to 773 of the family's 1533-position model. The record is from RNAcentral.
UACAGAGGUCGCGAGCGUUGUUCGGAUUUACUGGGCGUAAAGGGCGCGUAGGCUGCGAGGCGUGUCGGAUGUGAAAUCUCCGGGCCCAACCCGGAAAGUGCGUCCGAAACUGCCCCGCUCGAGGACGGAAGGGGGAAUCGGAAUAUAGGGUGUAGCGGUGAAAUGCGUUGAUAUCCUAUAGAACACCGGAGGCGAAGGCGGAUUCCUGGUACGUAUCUGACGCUGAGGCGCGAAAGUCGGGGGAGCAAAC